Cucumis sativus (cucumber) is the source of this 761-nucleotide long non-coding RNA. RefSeq lists it as uncharacterized. Lineage: Eukaryota; Viridiplantae; Streptophyta; Magnoliopsida; Cucurbitales; Cucurbitaceae. The transcript has 2 exons. The record is from RefSeq and is a predicted model, not a curated record.
UUGAUGUAAAAUCUUUCAGUUUUGAUGGAUCUUAUUACAAGCUUUCAACUCUUCUUAGCACGACUUCUGACAGAACAAAGGUUUGAUAUAUCUUUACACGAUCGCAUAUCACAUAUGAACGAUCGCAUAUCCCACCUGAAAUAUCGAUCACCCUUGGUAAAACAACCGUUUAGAUAUUCUACACGAUUGUUUGCUUAAGGAUACACGAUCAUUUUGUAACUAUUUUUUUUAUUAUCCUUUUUUCUUUUUAUACUAGAAUCAAAAUCAAUUGUUUGAUGAUAUUAACAACAUGUAUGAUGAUCUUCGUGAUGAUUCUAGUCAUCACAAUCUGGACAAGAAUGAUGACCAUCAAAAUAACAAACAUGUGAUCAUCCAUGAGAAUCCAUCUGUUCAAGAGUCACAUCUUCAAGAAUCUAUUGUAGAAACUCAACAGGAACAAAAAUGAACAACGCAAAUCAACAUCAAGAGCAAUCAGGCAGUGAUAUUAGCAUAGAUGGCAGAGAUGCACAUUUGAUAUUAACUAUAAGUAAUAUAGCAGAAAAUAUGGAAGGUCAUACUCAAACAGAAAAGGGACUGCUAGAAAUGAUUGAAAAUCUUCCGUUGGUAAGCCAACCACUUCCACUUUGUGAGAUGCUACCAUUAACUACUGGCAAAGGUCUUGCAUUAGUUUAAUUGGUAUGUGUGCCCUAAAGGGAUAAAAGCUCUUGGCAGUGAAAGACUUUACAAAACCAUUCAUCAAUUUUAAUUUGAAAAUUCCAAAA